RNAcentral lists this ribosomal RNA (377 nucleotides) under uncultured bacterium. RNAcentral's name for it is "bacterial SSU rRNA". It matches the Rfam family "Bacterial small subunit ribosomal RNA", at positions 523 to 898 of the family's 1533-position model. The record is from RNAcentral.
AUACGUAGGUGGCGAGCGUUGUCCGGAAUUACUGGGUGUAAAGGGCGUGUAGGCGGGGAUGCAAGUCAGAUGUGAAAUACCGGAGCUUAACUCCGGGGCUGCAUCUGAAACUGUGUUUCUUGAGUGUCGGAGAGGAAAGUGGAAUUCCCAGUGUAGCGGUGAAAUGCGUAGAUAUUGGGAGGAACACCAGUGGCGAAGGCGACUUUCUGGACGGCAACUGACGCUGAGGCGCGAAAGCGUGGGUAGCAAACAGGAUUAGAUACCCUGGUAGUCCACGCCGUAAACGAUGGAUACUAGGUGUAGGAGGUAUCGACCCCUUCUGUGCCGGAGUUAACACAAUAAGUAUCCCACCUGGGGAGUACGGCCGCAAGGUUGAA